ACGAACGCUGGCGGCAUGCCUAACACAUGCAAGUCGAACGAACUCUUCGGAGUUAGUGGCGCACGGGUGCGUAACGCGUGGGAAUCUGCCCUUGGGUACGGAAUAACUCAGAGAAAUUUGUGCUAAUACCGUAUAAUGACUUCGGUCCAAAGAUUUAUCGCCCAAGGAUGAGCCCGCGUAAGAUUAGCUUGUUGGUGAGGUAAAAGCUCACCAAGGCGACGAUCUUUAGCUGGUCUGAGAGGAUGAUCAGCCACACUGGGACUGAGACACGGCCCAGACUCCUACGGGAGGCAGCAGUGGGGAAUAUUGGACAAUGGGCGAAAGCCUGAUCCAGCAAUGCCGCGUGAGUGAUGAAGGCCCUAGGGUUGUAAAGCUCUUUUACCCGGGAUGAUAAUGACAGUACCGGGAGAAUAAGCUCCGGCUAACUCCGU
This 431-nucleotide ribosomal RNA is filed under the name uncultured bacterium. RNAcentral describes it as "bacterial SSU rRNA". It matches the Rfam family "Bacterial small subunit ribosomal RNA", at positions 29 to 506 of the family's 1533-position model. The record is from RNAcentral.